UACGUAGGGGGCAAGCGUUGUCCGGAUUUAUUGGGCGUAAAGAGCGUGUAGGCGGCCAGGUAGGUCUGCUGUGAAAACUCGAGGCUCAACCUCGAGACGUCGGCGGAAACCAUCUGGCUAGAGUCCGGAAGAGGAGAGUGGAAUUCCUGGUGUAGCGGUGAAAUGCGCAGAUAUCAGGAAGAACACCCGUGGCGAAAGCGGCUCUCUGGGACGGUACUGACGCUGAGACGCGAAAGCGUGGGGAGCGAACAGG
This 253-nucleotide ribosomal RNA is filed under the name uncultured bacterium. RNAcentral's name for it is "partial 16S ribosomal RNA". It matches the Rfam family "Bacterial small subunit ribosomal RNA", at positions 524 to 776 of the family's 1533-position model. The record is from RNAcentral.